Molecule: unclassified non-coding RNA, 338 nt
Filed under: soil metagenome
Description: partial contains 5.8S ribosomal RNA, internal transcribed spacer 2, and large subunit ribosomal RNA
Rfam family: 5.8S ribosomal RNA (bases 1-120)
Source: RNAcentral
GAUGAAGAACGUAGCGAAAUGCGAUAAGUAAUGUGAAUUGCAGAAUUCAGUGAAUCAUCGAAUCUUUGAACGCACAUUGCGCCCGCUAGUAUUCUGGCGGGCAUGCCUGUUCGAGCGUCAUUUCAACCAUCAAGCCCUGUUUAGGCUUGUGUUGGGGCCCUGCGGUUGCCGCAGCCCCCUAAAUGCAGUGGCGGGCUCGUUGUCACUCCGAGCGCAGUAGCGUAUCUCGCUCUGGGCGUGGCGGCGGGUGCUAGCCGUGAAACACCCAACUCUUCUGAAGUUGACCUCGAAUCAGGUAGGAAUACCCGCUGAACUUAAGCAUAUCAAUAAGCGGAGGA